CUGCAGCUCGAGUGGUGAUCGUUAUUAUUGGGCCUAAAACGUUCGUAGCCGGUUGAGUAAAUGCCUGGGUAAAUUGUGUAGCUCAACUAUACGACUUCCGGGUAGACUGCUAAACUUGAGACCGGGAGAGGCUAGAGGUACUCCUGGGGUAGAGGUGAAAUUCUGUAAUCCUAGGGGGACCACCAGUGGCGAAGGCGUCUAGCUAGAACGGGUCUGACGGUGAGGGACGAAGCCCUGGGGCGCAAACCGGAUUAGAUACCCGAGUAGUCC
This 270-nucleotide ribosomal RNA is filed under the name uncultured archaeon. RNAcentral describes it as "partial 16S ribosomal RNA". It matches the Rfam family "Archaeal small subunit ribosomal RNA", at positions 477 to 747 of the family's 1478-position model. The record is from RNAcentral.